UGUGUACCCUAGGGUUUCUGCCUAGGGUUCGGGAAGUAAGAAAGUGAUCUAUGAGUGUCGUGAGCCCACCAAUCUUCAGGGAAAGCUUCAUCAACCUCUCUACUACAUCUGCUAAUGAUCCAGAGCAUUCGAGCAGUCGACAGAUCAAGAUCAAAGGAGUUCGAUAAACAUCGGCCAUCAAAAGGGUUCAGCCACGAACUAGCAUUCUGAGGAGCCG
RNAcentral lists this long non-coding RNA (217 nucleotides) under Elaeis guineensis (African oil palm). RNAcentral's name for it is "long non-coding RNA (EGUI_LNC058509)". Lineage: Eukaryota; Viridiplantae; Streptophyta; Magnoliopsida; Arecales; Arecaceae. The record is from RNAcentral.